AAAACGGCCCUUUUCAGGGCCACCAUUACAUUCUAGAGUAAAGAGU
Molecule: non-coding RNA, 46 nt
Organism: Aedes aegypti (yellow fever mosquito)
Lineage: Eukaryota; Metazoa; Arthropoda; Insecta; Diptera; Culicidae
Source: Rfam